This is a non-coding RNA of Myodes glareolus (Bank vole), 725 nucleotides long. The record is from RefSeq and is a predicted model, not a curated record. Lineage: Eukaryota; Metazoa; Chordata; Mammalia; Rodentia; Cricetidae.
GCGGAAGCAGAUAAUGACAUGAAGUGUCAGGGCUGCUUGCUUCCAGAGGGUUCUUCUGCUCAGUCUCUAAAUGUAGCUGGUGUGUCUCUCUGGCCCUAAACCUGCUGCUUAAAAGUGCCACCUGUCAACAACGUGGCACACAUACAGUUUGCUCCUGCUGUGCGUAAACUCGCCUGGGAGUCACCGGCUUCCACCCAACACUCCGGGAAAGGCUGCAGAGGAGAAGUGGAGUCUUGAGCUUGACCUGGCUGGAGGAGAAAGAGGGAGCCAGGACAAGAAGGAGCAUCCAGGAUGGGGUGCAUGGCUUGUGCAAAGGCAUGGAGGUGCUUGAAUUGCUUCAGCACACCAUCCAGUGGGUUCUACUCUCAGAUCACAUGGACAAUGCAGCAGUUCUCCGGCUUCCACUGCUAACACUGGCGCAAACCACUGUGGCGUCCCUGUGGCUCUUGCCACAGCCUCCACUUCUAACCAUGACAGAUCAUUUGCAGCCGGGAGCCACCAAUUCCAGGGCUUCCCAAUGAAAUGUGGAAGCAAAUUCAUUUCGAAAUUCAACAGCGGCCCUACUGAGCUGUCUCUCUGCUCCAGCUUCACCACACUCAGAGUGCCCGAACUCAGGACUUUGCACCAAAUGCCCCUAUUUAUGCAGCUGUGAGAUGUGCUCAUCUGCUUGCUCUCUGUCCAAAUGCUGCUGCAUGGACUUGUCCUGUCACAUUAAAGGGGGACUC